Molecule: ribosomal RNA, 518 nt
Filed under: Staphylococcus sp. HMSC078D05
Lineage: Bacteria; Bacillati; Bacillota; Bacilli; Caryophanales; Staphylococcaceae
Also listed under: 1 other name
Description: bacterial SSU rRNA
Rfam family: Bacterial small subunit ribosomal RNA
Source: RNAcentral
GGGGGACAAAGUGACAGGUGGUGCAUGGUUGUCGUCAGCUCGUGUCGUGAGAUGUUGGGUUAAGUCCCGCAACGAGCGCAACCCUUAAGCUUAGUUGCCAUCAUUAAGUUGGGCACUCUAAGUUGACUGCCGGUGACAAACCGGAGGAAGGUGGGGAUGACGUCAAAUCAUCAUGCCCCUUAUGAUUUGGGCUACACACGUGCUACAAUGGACAAUACAAAGGGCAGCGAAACCGCGAGGUCAAGCAAAUCCCAUAAAGUUGUUCUCAGUUCGGAUUGUAGUCUGCAACUCGACUACAUGAAGCUGGAAUCGCUAGUAAUCGUAGAUCAGCAUGCUACGGUGAAUACGUUCCCGGGUCUUGUACACACCGCCCGUCACACCACGAGAGUUUGUAACACCCGAAGCCGGUGGAGUAACCAUUUGGAGCUAGCCGUCGAAGGUGGGACAAAUGAUUGGGGUGAAGUCGUAACAAGGUAGCCGUAUCGGAAGGUGCGGCUGGAUCACCUCCUUUCUAAGGA